UAUCAGUGGGAGAAGUUGACCUC
RNAcentral lists this microRNA (23 nucleotides) under Eptesicus fuscus (big brown bat). RNAcentral's name for it is "efu-miR-9237c". Lineage: Eukaryota; Metazoa; Chordata; Mammalia; Chiroptera; Vespertilionidae. The record is from miRBase by way of RNAcentral.